UUACGAGACUGCCGGUAGUUAAACCGGAGGAAGGUGGGGAUGACGUCAAGUCCUCAUGGCCUUUAUGCCCAGGGCUACACACGUGCUACAAUGGGUGGUACAAAGAGAUGCAAUCUCGCAAGAGCAAGCAAACCUCAAAAAGCCAUCCUCAGUUCGGAUUGGAGUCUGCAACUCGACUCCAUGAAGUCGGAAUCGCUAGUAAUCGCGGAUCAGCACGCCGCGGUGAAUACGUUCCCGGGCCUU
Molecule: ribosomal RNA, 243 nt
Filed under: uncultured Syntrophaceae bacterium
Lineage: Bacteria; Pseudomonadati; Thermodesulfobacteriota; Syntrophia; Syntrophales; Syntrophaceae
Description: partial 16S ribosomal RNA
Rfam family: Bacterial small subunit ribosomal RNA
Source: RNAcentral